CCGCACAGCUCCGCCAGUGAUUGCCUGGCUGGAGACUCAGAUACUCAAGUUUCCCUUGGCGUGCUCUCCUGGUGGGUAGGCUAGGCUAACCCCCAAACCCUGCGGUGCUCUCCGCGGGAAGAAGGGCGCUGAGGGCGCAGGUUGUCAGCUCAGAGCGUAAGGACGCGUGUAUGUAAGGAGGGGCAAGGCGAGCGGUACCAGCCCCAGGGUCCGGCUAGUCUACCUCGGUGUGCUCCUCUGCACCCCAGGACUGAGCUAGGCUGCUCCAGCAGGCGAGGAUCCCGGAGCCAAGGAGUUCCGAGAGCCCGGGGAUUAAGCGGCUACUUCAUGAACUCCAAAUCCCCAGGCACCCGCGCCCCGGUUUAUGAUGAUCGCUGAGCUAGCGCCCCCCCCCCCCGCUUCCACUUCCAGAUGCCAGCCUGUGGCUUGGGGCAGGAAGCAGCCGGGCGCUCCAGGAUUCUCGGGAUUGGGACUGUAGACAGAAGAAAGCCUGGCUGUUGUGGGAGACCCGCUGCUGAGCCCAGAGAGCUGCGACCGUGUUUCUGCCACGUAAAACAUAGGCAGACCUUGGAGCGCGGAGCCUGGUUGCAGCGGAGCACGGCCUCCUCACCCUGUCCUCACCCUGCGUAAAGGCGCGGGGCUGGGUAACCCCCCCCCACCCCCGACGCUGCAGGCUGUAUUGUUCCCCGAGAUUUGAAGCCCUCUCCUUUGGGGUUACAUGAACCCGGAGGAUGGGUGGUGGCGCGCCUUUCAGCUAGGGGGCAGGCGCCUACAGACACUGACCAGCCACGUAGAAACACAGGUGCUCCAGGAAUUCUGAAUCUGGGGUCGAGGGGCCCAUUUCUGUGCAUCCCGAGGGAGGAGGGACAAGACUGGCAAGAAUCGGGUAUUGGGGUGUCAGGAUGAUCUUGGCAAGUGUCUCCUAGCGUCAGCUUUAGAUUACAGACAAUUGUGUCCACCGGCCCUCCAGCCUCCGAGGAGGUGCCUCCUGGGCGUCUGCCGGGUGCUCCCCUCCCCCAUCUCGUCCGGUUCCCUCCUCGAGGGCUUUCCGAGAACUGCAGCAGGUGGCGUUUGGCGUAUGAAUAGCAAGGACAACCCAGGGACUUAAACUGGUUGUGGCCUCUGAUCAAGCACUUCACCGGGCUCAUUGCCCUCCGAAGGAGUCGGUGAAGAAGGUGAAAAGGUCAUAAGCCUUCUGGGAAGUGGCAUUUAUAGACUCACUGCCAUCACAGAGACUGACUCCUACCUGGUGCAAGAGCUGGCAAAGAUUUAGGAAUGCUGGCAAGGAGACUCUGGUCAAAGGUUUUGGCUGAAAAACUAGGGUCAGCCAGGGAGAAAGGACGCUGGGACACUGGUGCUCCAGGCCAGGACUCUGCGUUGGGUGUCUGGGCUGGGCGCUCGACUGAAGCUUGUGCGAGGCGCGGAGCUGCUGCUUAUGCUCCCGCGCCCGACUCAGCCUUCUUUCCGGCCCUGGUUACCCGGCCCCGCCUACAGCACAGAUCCGCCCCCCUCCCCGCCCCAUCGCACCUCCACCCCGGGCGCAGUUAGCCAGCCCCGUCCCGAAGCGCCUCCGUUAGUCGCCACUGGGCUUCCUCCUAGGCUGCCUGACCCGUUGGAAGCCCCCCGGUGGGUUGGGCGCGCCGGGAGUCUGGGAGUCAAAUGCCCCGGGUCGAGCGGAAGGGGCAGUCGCGGGGCGGUCGGCCCUCUGCAGGCAAGGUCUAGGCGUCAGCCGCGCCCAGGGCAGAGCCAGGGGAACGACAGAGGCGGGGGACAGCCCUGGCGCCCUGCCACAGCGAGCGCGUGUCCCCGCCUCCCCACGCCAGGCGCCGGGUGCAUCCCUGCCAAUUCCAACUGCGCCGAGUGGGAAAACUGAACUGAGGCACUUUGUGAGUUCAAAUGUGGCUGAGUUAUGAAGGAAUUCUGCAGUGAAAUUUAAUACAACAAAUGAGAUGUUUCAAAUUUGGGUCUAUGUCUUUUUUUGUUUGUUUGUUUGUUUGCUUAUUUUUUGUUUUGUUUUGUUUUGUUUUGUUUUUUUGAGACAGGGUUUCUUUGUAUUGCUUUGGAGCCUGUCCUGGAACUCGCUCUGUAGGUCAGGUUGGCUUCAAACUCAUAGAGAUCCACCUGCCUUUGCCUCCCGAGUGCUGGGAUUAAAGGCGUGCAACACCAAUGCCCUACUCAGUUUUCAUUUAAUCUUGCAAGGGAUUGUACCUUCCACCUGUGUGUGUGUGUGUGUGUGUGUGUGUGUGUGUGUGUGUGUGUGUGUGUGUUUCUGCACAUGAACACACUUGCACACACAUAUGGAGGUCCAAUAUUGAUAACAGAAUUCUUCUUCAGUCUAUCUCUCCUUUAUAUAUUGAUGUAGGGUCUCUCUCUCGAACCCAGAGCUUUCUGAUUAUUAGUCUACCUACCUAGCCAGUUUGCUUCAGGGAUCCCCUCUCUCUGUCUUCUACAUCCAGGGAUGAGAGAUGGGCUGCCACAUUGCUACAUUUACAUGAGUACUGAGGAUCUGAACUCUGAUCUUUUGCAAUUGAUGGCAAGCUCUUUCUCUGCUAAGUUCUCUCCGCAACCCCCAUUUAUGACUUGGAAGGUUCGGUAAGUAGGCUGAGGCAUGAACUAAUUACUAAUAAAGUAACCAGAUAUGCUUGUGAUGGCUCAUGGUGAUGUUUUGAUGGUAGCUGGAUGGUGGUGGCACACACUUUUAAUCACAGCAUUCAGGAGGCAGAGGCAGGCAUACCUCAGUGAGUUCAAGGCCAGCCUGGUCUACAGAGUGAUACCUUGAUGGCAUCUGAAACCAUCUAAGAGACUAGAUUCUAUACAUAUCUAUGAGGGACUUUCUGGAUUGAAUUACCUGGGAUGGGAAGAUCCACCCUAAGUGUGAGCAGCACUAUCCCAGAUUGGGAUCCUGAGUGCAAUAAAAAUGAGAAAGUGCACAGAGCAUUGGCAUUCAUUUCUCAUUGCCUCAUGCUCCUGUCAUGCUGCCUUCCCACCAUUCCUUCCCCAAUAUGGUAAACCAUAUCUGACAACUGUCAGCCCAAACACACUCUUCCUUUACUAAGUUGCUUCUUGUCACAUAUUUGACUACAGUAACAAGAAAAGUAACUAUAAUACUAAAAUUCGAUCCCUACUCAGAUUUACUCGACCCACCCAGAUGUUGGUAUGUAAAAGCCGGGUCUGACCUUACUGAUUUUCAAGAUGCUUUGGACUUUGGUUUGAGGAUGAUUGCUCUGGGUUUCAGAACAGUUAUCCAUGUAGGCAGACCGAUGCUGAUAGCUAUGUGUUGUGUUUGACAUUAGUCUUGAUCUUGUUGCGUAUGUAUCUUUUACUGUGUAGAUAGAAGACAGUAACUUUUAUGUCACAUUUAAGUGGAAGCAUCUUGAAAAUUCCAGGAUACAGAGUGAGCAGUAAUCAGGGUUUGUUGUUGCAUCUUAAAAUGCAACCUAGAAGGCUGGGGAGAUGACUCAGUGAGUAAUAUGCUUGCUGUGCAAGCAUGAGGACUGAAAUUUGAUCCUCAGAACCUACUGUGGUGGUUUGGAUGAGAAUGGACUCCAAAGGUACAUAUGUUUGAAUGCUUAGUCGCCAGGGAGUGGAACUGUCUGGGAAGGAUUAAGGGGUGUGGCCUUGUUGGAGAAAGUGUGUCACUGGGGGUGGGCUUUGAAGUUUCAAAGUCCAUACCAGGUCCAGUGUCUCUUUCUCUGCCUGCCGCUUAUGGAUUAAGAUGUAAAGUUUUCAGAUACUACUUCAGAACUAUGUCUGUCUGCUUCACACCAUGAUGGUCAUGGACCAACCCUCUGGAACUAUAAGCAAACCCCCAAUUAAAUGCUUUCUUUUAUAAGAGUUGCCUUGGUGUCUCUUCACAGCAAUAGAACAGUAACUACAACACCCAUAUUUUAAAAAGCCAGGCUUUGUGGCACAUGCUUAUAAUCCCAGGGCUAGAAAGGUAGAGACUGUCCAUGGGGCUUGCUGGCCAACCAGCCUAGACUAGGUGCUAAGUUCAAGGCCAAUGAGUAACUGUCUCAAAAUCAAGGUAGACAGCUCCUGAGGAAUAGCACAUGAGUUUGUUCUCUGCCGGCCACAUGCCACAUGCUUGCAUGUAUAUACACAUGUGCACACACACACAGUCACAAACAAGUACAAGCUAGAUUAGAUCAGAAAAGUGAAUUAACGGCUGUGACGAGGCAGCCAAGGCACAGGUCUGACUUCAUGCAGAGCUGGAACUGGAACCAAAGAUCACAUAGAUGUCAGUCAGUGGGAGGUCACCUGUAUUUCCAUCCAGCAGCUUGAUUUUUGGGUGGGCUCCAAGCAAGACAAAGGUGGAAAUAAUAGCCCAUGCUUCAGUGGACUUUUGAAGUUACAUCAGAGAGAAAAGUUUGGGGUCAGGAUAUUUUCUCCCCGCAGGUGUGAUUAUCCCAUAUCUUUUGCUUGACGUGUGGAUUGUGUAUAUAUUCCGUGGCCAGUCAAUUGCUCAAGAAAAGAAUUCCAGGCUGCCUACACUGGUGGUGGUCAUCAGCUACAAGGAAGACAUUGUGGAGAGAGGCCCUGAGAAAUGAAUCUUUGAAUUCUAUGACCAGAAGAAGAGGGGAAUAUGCUAGGCUAAGGAUAGGCAACAUGUUCACAAGGUCUUUUACUAAACAUGGAGCUCAUUGGUUUGCCUAGAUUGGCUAUCCAAAUAUCCCCGGAGGUCUGUCUGUUUCUACUUCCCCGUUACCAGAAUUACAGACAGGUCUGUGCCACUGGAUCUGGCUUUUUAUGUGGGCGCUCGGGUUGGGAACUCAGGUCCUCAUGUUUAUUCAACACUGAGUUACUUCCCCACAGCCAGCUCUCUCUCUCUCUCUCUCUCUCUCUCUCUCUCUCUCUCUCUCUCUCUCUGCUAUCCUUAGUUGUUUUCAAGCGAGAAAAUAGAAAAUGUUCUGAUUUUAGUUUUAAUAUGGUUGGUGUUUCUAUUCUGUGCUUAGUUUCCCUCCCUUCCUUCCUCUCUUUCUCUUUCUUUCUUUCUUUCUUUCUUUCUUUCUUUCUUUCUUUCUUUCUUUCUUUCUUUCUUUCUUGUUUUAUAAUAUAAAUAUCCAGUGGGGGCCAAAUAGCUUUAAUUUCAGAACCAGAAACUCAUGCUCCAUUGAGCUUCUAGUGAGCGUAUAAAGCAAAUGAAGGUGAUUUUUAACUCCAUCUCCUUUUUCAUUGUUGUGAUGGUUAACCAAUUUGACGAGAUUUGCAGUCACCUGUGAGUUUGACUGAGGGGGUAAGACCCACCUUGUGUUUGGGUGGCAUUAUCCCAUGGCCUGGAGUCCUGGACUGAAGGAAAAGAAGAAAGUGAGCUGAGCACCAGCGUCCAUCUCCUGUUUCCUGACUGCUGAUGCACUGUGACCAGCUGGCUCAUACUUUCCCCCCACCGUGUCAGACUGUACCCUGGGAUUGUGCAUCAAAGUAAACCCUUCUACCUUAUGUUGCUUUUGUGAAGUAUUUGGCCACAGUGAUUCAUCAGCAACUAAUGCAGCUGUGCCUCUAGGUUUUUUUUCCCUGUGUUUCCUCUGAUAACAGCCUUAAAAAAAAACUCCAGGCAGUGGUGGCCCCCUAGAACUCAGGAGGCAGAAGCAGUCGGAUCUCUGAAUUUGAGGCCAGCCUAGUCUACAGAGUGAGUUCCAGGACAGCCAGAGCUACACAGAGAAACCCCCACCCAGAAAAAAGCACAACAAACUACCACUGAAUGCUUGCACAUUUAACCCACUUUACAUGGUGCUGUGAAUCAUGUAGAAAAGGUUUUAAAGAUCCAGUGUCCAGGACUCUUGCAGAACUCAAGGCUGGAGUAGGCCUUUACCAGGUCUCAAUGAAGCCGAGCAAAGGUUUUCAGAGUGCUAUCUGGACUUGUUUUUCUCUGUUUCCAAGUGGCAAACAUGCUGCUCUUUCAAAAGCUUUGAAAAGUCAUCAGAAACGAAGCAACCCUCUCCACCCACCUACUGUAAGAUGCCUGGAGCCUACACGCAGCCUAAGCCUGAGCAUGUCUCCUGUUAUCCUCUAGAACAGUUGGCUAAAAAACCAAAGAUACAUACUUUUCCUGACUACUCGUAUGAAAAUAGACACUCUCUAAAAAGAAAUUUAAAUAAUAUAUAAUUUCUCAAAAUAACCACUAAUGGAUUUGGUAUAUUCUUUUUGAGUUAUUCUUAAAUGGAUAUACAUACAUACAUUUUUAUUCCCAAAUGUAGUCCUAUAUAUCACUCUGUGGCUUCUCAGAUGCGAUGGUCCAAUUUAGACAUCUUUCCAUGUUGACACACAGAGAUAUAUCAUCUUGCUGUUUG
This 6287-nucleotide long non-coding RNA is filed under the name Cricetulus griseus (Chinese hamster). RNAcentral describes it as "lncRNA (ENSCGRG00015037710.1)". Lineage: Eukaryota; Metazoa; Chordata; Mammalia; Rodentia; Cricetidae. The record is from RNAcentral.